Molecule: long non-coding RNA, 1169 nt
Organism: Capsicum annuum
Lineage: Eukaryota; Viridiplantae; Streptophyta; Magnoliopsida; Solanales; Solanaceae
Exons: 2
Source: RefSeq, a predicted model, not a curated record
ACUCAGGGCAAACAGAAAAAAAAAGGGGGACCACUCACUAAUUUGGCUUCCCUUCAAAAGAAAAAUAAUGAAGAUACAGUGAGAAGAAGGAGCGCACACACUCAUUCACCUUCUUCUUCACGGGCAAACACACAAGAACCUUCCAUUCUUCAAUUCUCCACACAUAUACACUCAUUCGCACAGAAUUCUCUACACACUACACACACAGCUCACAAUAAUCGCUCAUCCUCACUGAUUUGCGCACACCCACAUACGGGUAUACGCGCACAUCACCGGAAAGGCAGAAAUAUAGCUGAAUUGGAGAUCGGGAAAGGUGAACGGUGGGAGAUAGGUCGGAAACAGUAAAAGAGAGUAGGGAGACGAGAGAGAGAUAUAGAGGGAGAUAUAGAGGGAGAGACGAUUAGAGAAGGAGACUGAUCUUUCUCGGAUCUUCUUCUUCACAGGUACAGAAACAGCGUGAAAAAUUUCAGAAAAAAAAAAGAGAUCGAUCAGGUAGAGAGGGUGAAAAAUUGAGAGAGAGAGAGAGAGAGAGAGAGAGAGAGAGUGAAGAUUUCAAGUCGUUGGUCACUGUUCCGGCGACUUAGCUCGCCGGAAUUAGUUUUCCAUUCCUUGUUCGAUCGUUUCUCUUCGGAUUCCGGUGAUAUCUCGCCGGAAUCGACGUCAAGCUUAUCAUCUCGGCCUGCUCCAUCCUAAAGUUCCCUAGAUCCUCUCAUUCUUCUUGAUUUCUGGACAAAAUCUAGCUGGUAUUUCAUCGGGGUUCGAUUUUGUACGUGUCUUCAAUUUUCUACCGAAAAUUGGAUUUGGAUUCUGGUGGUCGGCAUUCGAUUCUGAUUUGGAUUUUUAUAUCGGAGUUGGAGCUCGUCACUGUUGAGGUUCUAUUCGAAAUUCUGAAGUUCAGGCUUUCUUAAACAUUAUUAUCGAUUGAAAUUGAUUAUCGAAAGGGGAUUCUCCGAGGUUUCAUGUAUUUAUUCACCGGGGAAUGUCCCGACGUAUUACGUACUCGGAGGACGUCCGUGACGAAGGCCCGAGGCAUCGGAGCGUAGUGUAGGACUAGUGUAGGCUAGCAUAGGUUUAUAUUUUCGCAUUUUUUUUUAUUUUGGACUGUAUAACUGGAUUGGACACUAAAUUUUGGAUUGUUUUGUUUUGUUUGUUUGAUUGAUUGUUUUGUA